This 296-nucleotide long non-coding RNA is filed under the name Pandoravirus salinus. RNAcentral's name for it is "putative ncRNA". The record is from RNAcentral.
CGGCGUGUGCAAGGCUGGCGGUCGUCUUUGUCGUUGCCAAUGUGUCUCUCUGGUUCCGUGACGUCACCCUCGGUCCUCUUGCGCCGUGCCUUAUUCUUUUUUUUUCCUUUGUCGGGCUCUCUGUCUCUUUUUUUCUCGCUUUUGCUGCGCGAUGGCUUUUGCUUUCUGUGUUUUUUUUCUAUUCGGUUUUUUUUGUUUGGUGAAUUGGCCCCGCGGGUGGCUUGGGUCUCGCGGUUGCGCCUGCGAGUACGGUGGAUGCGAGUUGCUUUUCUCUCUCUCUCUCUCUCUCUCUCUCU